ACCUAUAAGUGAAAAGUGUGAAUAUUUUGGUAACUUGAAAUUUUCUAGCGUUUAAUUGAUUUUUGUUUAACUUCACAAUAAAUUAAUUUGACAAAACUCAGUUUAACGCCUCAUCUCGAAAGUAAAACGACAUGACACGCCCACAUGUAGCAUAGAGGACGUGCCAAGACACGUUUAACGUUCGCUCCUGUCCUGCAGCCAACAUUGAACGCAUGAAUCUUUCAUGGAGUCUACAUGCUGGAUAACACUUCACAAAACACAUGGUGUUGCAGAGUCAAAUGUGCAUGAGGACCUCAAAAUGCACAGCAUGAAGAUCUAUGCUUGUUGUGAGCCAGACACAGUAGGCAUCGUCAUCGAGGGAAUCAAAGUUCACAUGGAUCCAACUCAGUGUCACUGUAUAUGUUUACACAGUUAAAUAAAUGUUGGAAAUGUAUA
Long non-coding RNA from Notolabrus celidotus (New Zealand spotty), 435 nucleotides. RefSeq lists it as uncharacterized. The record is from RefSeq and is a predicted model, not a curated record. Lineage: Eukaryota; Metazoa; Chordata; Actinopteri; Labriformes; Labridae. The transcript has 2 exons.